RNAcentral lists this ribosomal RNA (253 nucleotides) under uncultured bacterium. RNAcentral's name for it is "partial 16S ribosomal RNA". It matches the Rfam family "Bacterial small subunit ribosomal RNA", at positions 524 to 776 of the family's 1533-position model. The record is from RNAcentral.
GACGGAGGAUGCAAGCGUUAUCCGGAAUGAUUGGGCGUAAAGCGUCCGCAGGCGGCAGUUCAAGUCUGCUGUCAAAGACCGGGGCUUAACUUCGGAAAGGCAGUGGAAACUGAACAGCUAGAGUAUGGUAGGGGCAGAGGGAAUUCCUGGUGUAGCGGUGAAAUGCGUAGAGAUCAGGAAGAACAUCGGUGGCGAAGGCGAUCUGCUGGACCAUAACUGACACUCAGGGACGAAAGCUAGGGGAGCGAAUGGG